This 1763-nucleotide long non-coding RNA is filed under the name Haliotis rubra (blacklip abalone). RNAcentral's name for it is "uncharacterized LOC124271121". Lineage: Eukaryota; Metazoa; Mollusca; Gastropoda; Lepetellida; Haliotidae. The record is from RNAcentral.
CAUGGUAGCGACCGCAGCCGCCGCUAGGGGCGCUAGUGUCGUUAUUUUUAGAAUUGCGGACGAUUUUGGGUCACGGACAGGCCGACGUUUAAGGUCCAAGUACGCAUAUUUUGACCAAAUGUAUGCGAUUUUUUUUUUUAUGGUGUCGCGUCGUACACAUGUUCAAGUGCGCGUAUUUUGCAAAACUAGCAUCUGACCACGAAAGAUGAAAAAACGACGAGAUUCCUGCUACAAGGGUUGAAGAAUGCCUCAUCUCGAAGAAAAUACUGUGGAAGAUAAAUAUGAGAACUUGUUAUGACUGUCUAUGAUAACAUGUCAAUAACCUAUUCACAAUUAAUACUGGGAAUUGGUUAAAUCUCAUAAUUGAUGAUUGAUUCAUUACAACCGAUCAAUCAUCGAAAAUAAUUGGUUUUCGUCAUUUAUCAAAUCUUCCUGACUGUGUGCUUUAAUGUUUUAAUGCACAAAAAAUCUAGAAAAAACAUGUAGUUCUUUGGGUUUAUUUUGUACAUUGCACAGAAUUCAAUCAUGAUGAGGAACGAACUUGUAGUGCUUAUGAAAUGUAACAGACAAAACCAACCUUGUGAAAAAUAUUGUUAAUGCAAACAAGUGUUCCAGAAUUGUUUGUGUUCGCUUCUGAGAAAACAUCAUCAAUUGCUUGGUCGUUUAGCCAUUGCAACCAAUCUUUGAUUAUUUCAAUUAAUCGGACCACCACAAUUCACAAUCGUAAAAAGAUACAUUUAAAAGCUCCGUUAUGGUGUCGUAAAAUGCAUAUAUCUAGUAAGGAAAAUGAAGAAUUUUUUAGAAUCGGUGUCUUUUCUCUCUCUCUCUCUUCUCUCUCUCUCAAUUUAUUACAUAUAAUAUGCAACACAUGACGAAUGUGGCAACUGUUGAAAGUAUGUAAUACGACUCCUCUCCACGUGGAGUCGUAGUGGAUUGUAAAAUCGUGGUACCUACGACAUAGUAAAAUAUUUUUACAAAGAAUUGCUAUGACUGUUUAUGAUAACAUGUAUUACAAAGUGUAGCUAGAUACUGGAAACACAUGGGUUUGAAGAACACAGCAAAUGACACAAUGCAUCAAGAUAAAAUUCAUUUGAACUGUUUCAAACUCUGAAACGUAUUUGUCAAUAUCAUUUUCACAAUGAUUCUAAGCUGAUGUAUUUGGUCUUAGCGGUGCUGAUGUGAUGCCAACUGUCUUGUCUAUAUGUUUUAUUAUACACUCAAGUAUUUUCUUCACGUAUUUCUGAAACAGAUGGGAAACAUCCAGGACCAGUGAUGAAACUGAAAGAUAGUUAGACAAUGAAGUGACUGAAAAGAACGUUUUUAUGUGUAUGAUCCUCUUUGUGUGAGGCUUCAUUUCAAGUAUACUCUGAACAGAAGUGUCAAAUCAUGUAAUAUAUUUGGAUUAUGGAUAUGAACUAUUUACUGGAUUCAAGACAGAACUGCGACUUGAAUAUACAACAAGCAAUCAUUAUGGUUUUUGAAUAUUUUAAAUAUUUGCUCAGAUUUUUAUUAUCUUUAAAAAUAAUUUUCAAGAAUCAAAUGAGUGUUAUAUUAAUAUAAUUUCAUUUUGAAGUUUACACAAUGGUAAAGAGGAAUUUUGAGAAGUAGUUUUUGCCGAAAACCUUAGUAAAAGCAACAUGAUAAAAAAUUUACUUUGGUUCUUGAAUGCAUGUAAAUACACAUGAACAGGAUGAAGAAAUUGUAUUCUGAACUAAACGUGACAACAUUCAGUGAUACUAUAUGCAUAAUUGCUUAGAAGAAAA